This 521-nucleotide ribosomal RNA is filed under the name uncultured bacterium. RNAcentral describes it as "bacterial SSU rRNA". It matches the Rfam family "Bacterial small subunit ribosomal RNA", at positions 8 to 524 of the family's 1533-position model. The record is from RNAcentral.
AGAGUUUGAUCCUGGCUCAGAUUGAACGCUGGCGGCAGGCCUAACACAUGCAAGUCGAGCGGAUGAUGAGAGCUUGCUCUCUGAUUCAGCGGCGGACGGGUGAGUAAUGCCUAGGAAUCUGCCUGGUAGUGGGGGACAACGUCUCGAAAGGGACGCUAAUACCGCAUACGUCCUACGGGAGAAAGCAGGGGACCUUCGGGCCUUGCGCUAUCAGAUGAGCCUAGGUCGGAUUAGCUAGUUGGUGAGGUAAUGGCUCACCAAGGCGACGAUCCGUAACUGGUCUGAGAGGAUGAUCAGUCACACUGGAACUGAGACACGGUCCAGACUCCUACGGGAGGCAGCAGUGGGGAAUAUUGGACAAUGGGCGAAAGCCUGAUCCAGCCAUGCCGCGUGUGUGAAGAAGGUCUUCGGAUUGUAAAGCACUUUAAGUUGGGAGGAAGGGCAGUAAAUUAAUACUUUGCUGUUUUGACGUUACCGACAGAAUAAGCACCGGCUAACUCUGUGCCAGCAGCCGCGGUAAU